RNAcentral lists this ribosomal RNA (253 nucleotides) under uncultured bacterium. Its description in RNAcentral is "partial 16S ribosomal RNA". It matches the Rfam family "Bacterial small subunit ribosomal RNA", at positions 524 to 776 of the family's 1533-position model. The record is from RNAcentral.
UACGUAGGGGGCAAGCGUUGUCCGGAAUCAUUGGGCGUAAAGAGUGCGUAGGCGGUCCGGUAAGUCAGCUGUGAAAGUCAGGGGCUCAACCCUUGAAAGCCGGUUGAUACUGUCGGGCUAGAGUCCGGAAGAGGCGAGUGGAAUUCCCGGUGUAGCGGUGAAAUGCGCAGAGAUCGGGAGGAACACCCGUAGCGAAGGCGGCACUCUGGGCCGAUACUGACGCUGAGGAGCGAAAGCGUGGGGAGCAAACAGG